GAUGAACGCUGGCGGCGUGCCUAAUACAUGCAAGUCGAGCGAACAGACGAGGAGCUUGCUCCUCUGACGUUAGCGGCGGACGGGUGAGUAACACGUGGAUAACCUACCUAUAAGACUGGGAUAACUUCGGGAAACCGGAGCUAAUACCGGAUAAUAUAUUGAACCGCAUGGUUCAAUAGUGAAAGACGGUUUUGCUGUCACUUAUAGAUGGAUCCGCGCCGCAUUAGCUAGUUGGUAAGGUAACGGCUUACCAAGGCGACGAUGCGUAGCCGACCUGAGAGGGUGAUCGGCCACACUGGAACUGAGACACGGACCAGACUCCUACGGGAGGGAGCAGUAGGGAAUCUUCCGCAAUGGGCGAAAGCCUGACGGAGCAACGCCGCGUGAGUGAUGAAGGUCUUCGGAUCGUAAAGCUCUGUUAUUAGGGAAGAACAAAUGUGUAAGUAACUAUGCACGUCUUGACGGUACCUAAUCAGAAAGCCACGGCUAACUACGUG
Molecule: ribosomal RNA, 497 nt
Filed under: uncultured bacterium
Lineage: Bacteria
Description: partial 16S ribosomal RNA
Rfam family: Bacterial small subunit ribosomal RNA
Source: RNAcentral